This 1112-nucleotide long non-coding RNA is filed under the name Felis catus (domestic cat). Its description in RNAcentral is "lncRNA (ENSFCAG00000042743.2)". Lineage: Eukaryota; Metazoa; Chordata; Mammalia; Carnivora; Felidae. The record is from RNAcentral.
CUGAAAGGUUCCCGGGUGACUCUGCUGCUGCUGGCCGGCCGGGCGGGGCUCUGGGGGACCGUGCUUCACGGUCAGCUCACUUCCGGUCUGUGACGUGGAGGUAAUGGCACCAUCCCAAGGGUCAGCUGAGUUAGCUGUUGGGGCAGAGUGACAGGGGACCGCUUGUUGUCCCAGCAGAUGGCACACUGUGGCAUUCCUCUCCAGCACCGUGAUGGGGGGAACGCACGUGGGCCCCAUACAGGUGCCACGCCGCUACUCUGGUCCCCGGGCCAGUAGAUACAACUCACACCCGCUUCUGAUGGUCUGCCGGUUCUGAACUCCCAUUUGCAGGACGGUGACAGACCAACAGUGGCUGAAUGUGGGCCUCUGGGCCUUCCUGGCACCAUCAGACGUGGAGUGCAGCACAUAGUGGGGUCGCAGGCCAAGAAGAGAGAAGCAAGGAGCACAACACACGGGCGGGGGCCUCGCUCGCUCACCUGGGGCUGACCUGCAAACUCGGCGUGGACGGAUGGAUUUCCAGGGCGCGGGGCCUUCCGGAGACAAGGGCAGAGGCUCCAGCACAAACGGCCUUUUUCCUUCACAGACGCGUCGUGCCUUGUUGCCUUCAUGCAUCGCAACCUGAGAUUAGAAACAUUUUUGUGUGUCACCGUGCGGAACGGGAUUGACGGCGAGGGGACCGUUCCCGGCUCACCCGCUGCACAGUGGGGGCUGUUUCCCGUCCGCGGGUGCUGCCAGAUGCUGCCCGGGGUGGGACCCGCGGCCCGGGAUCCUUGUGCGGAUUAACGGGGACACAAAGUGGGAUCAGUACCGGGCGGGCCGCUCCCCGGGGCUGGCUUUCACCGGGCCCCCCACACGUCCUUUGCCAGUAGGCUUUCAUUAGUUUCUGAAUCCAAAGCUCCUACAGGAGAGGGCCGUCCCAUGUCCCUUCCUCCCUCGCACCCCCCGCACCCCGCCAACGCCAGCCCACGACGAUCGCACUCGCUGUGAAUCUCAGGGACGUCCCGACAGGAAAUUAUCACACGUCAUUACGUGGCUUCAAACACAAUUUUCCAGCCUUUGCAAAUCAGUCUCCGCGAGCGUGAGGGGUAAUGGGAACUGUCUGUUUCACUUUC